Molecule: ribosomal RNA, 561 nt
Filed under: uncultured bacterium
Lineage: Bacteria
Description: bacterial SSU rRNA
Rfam family: Bacterial small subunit ribosomal RNA
Source: RNAcentral
CCUACGGGAGGCAGCAGUGGGGAAUAUUGGACAAUGGGCGAAAGCCUGAUCCAGCAAUGCCGCGUGAGUGAUGAAGGCCUUAGGGUUGUAAAGCUCUUUUACCCGGGAUGAUAAUGACAGUACCGGGAGAAUAAGCCCCGGCUAACUCCGUGCCAGCAGCCGCGGUAAUACGGAGGGGGCUAGCGUUGUUCGGAAAUACUGGGCGUAAAGCGUACGUAGGCGGCUUGGCAAGUCAGGGGUGAAAUCCCGGAGCUCAACUCCGGAACUGCCCUUGAAACUGCCUGGCUAGAAUCUUGGAGAGGUCAGUGGAAUUCCGAGUGUAGAGGUGAAAUUCGUAGAUAUUCGGAAGAACACCAGUGGCGAAGGCGACUGACUGGACAAGUAUUGACGCUGAGGUACGAAAGCGUGGGGAGCAAACAGGAUUAGAUACCCUGGUAGUCCACGCCGUAAACGAUGAUAACUAGCUGUCCGGGCACAUGGUGUUUGGGUGGCGCAGCUAACGCAUUAAGUUAUCCGCCUGGGGAGUACGGUCGCAAGAUUAAAACUCAAAGGAAUUGACGG